AAAAAGACAAAACCUGGUUUUCGUGCCCAACAUUUGACCGUCCGUCUUAUUUGAAAAAAUUAUGAAAAAAUUAAAAAGACAAGUCACGCAUAAAAUAUUAAUUAUGUUUUAUCAUCUAACAACAAUGAAAAUAUGAAUUAUAAAAAAAAUUUAUAUAAGACGGACAGUCAAAGUUAGACAUAAAACCUAAGAUUUGCCUUUUUU
RNAcentral lists this microRNA precursor (204 nucleotides) under Oryza meridionalis. Its description in RNAcentral is "MIR812 microRNA precursor family". It matches the Rfam family "MIR812 microRNA precursor family". Lineage: Eukaryota; Viridiplantae; Streptophyta; Magnoliopsida; Poales; Poaceae. The record is from Rfam by way of RNAcentral.